RNAcentral lists this ribosomal RNA (253 nucleotides) under uncultured bacterium. RNAcentral's name for it is "partial 16S ribosomal RNA". It matches the Rfam family "Bacterial small subunit ribosomal RNA", at positions 524 to 776 of the family's 1533-position model. The record is from RNAcentral.
UACAGAGGGUGCAAGCGUUAAUCGGAAUUACUGGGCGUAGAGCGUGCGUAGACGGUUAUGUAAGUCGGGUGUGAAAGCCCCGGGCUCAACCUGGGAAUUGCAUUCGAGACUGUGUAGCUAGGGUACGGAAGAGGGAAGCGGAAUUUCAGGUGUAGCGGUGAAAUGCGUAGAUAUCUGAAGGAACACCAGUGGCGAAAGCGGCUUCCUGGUCCAGUACCGACGUUCAGGCACGAAAGCGUGGGGAGCAAACAGG